CCUACGGGAGGCAGCAGUAAGGAAUAUUGGUCAAUGGAGGGAACUCUGAACCAGCCAUGCCGCGUGCAGGAUGACUGCCCUAUGGGUUGUAAACUGCUUUUGUCCAGGAAUAACUACCACUACGUGUAGUGGCUUGAAUGUACUGGAAGAAUGAGGAUCGGCUAACUCCGUGCCAGCAGCCGCGGUAAUACGGAGGAUCCGAGCGUUAUCCGGAUUUAUUGGGUUUAAAGGGUGCGUAGGCGGCUUAUUAAGUCAGGGGUGAAAGACGGCAGCUCAACUGUCGCAGUGCCUUUGAUACUGAUGAGCUUGAAUGUGGUUGAAGAUGGCGGAAUGAGACAAGUAGUGGUGAAAUGCAUAGAUAUGUCACAGAACUCCGAUUGCGAAGGCAGCUGUCUAAGUCAUUAUUGACGCUGAUGCACGAGAGCGUGGGGAUCGAACAGGAUUAGAUACCCUGGUAG
Molecule: ribosomal RNA, 458 nt
Filed under: uncultured bacterium
Lineage: Bacteria
Description: bacterial SSU rRNA
Rfam family: Bacterial small subunit ribosomal RNA
Source: RNAcentral